GGGCCCGCACAAGCAGCGGAGCGUGUGGUUUAAUUCGAUGCAACGCGAAGAACCUUACCCAGACUUGACAUGCACGGGAAAGCCGGGGAAACUCGGCCCCCUUCGGGUCCGUGCACAGAUGUUGCAUGGCUGUCGUCAGCUCGUGUCGUGAGAUGUUGGGUUAAGUCCCGCAACGAGCGCAACCCUCGUGUGCUGUUGCCAAUCAGCACAGACUGCCGGUACAAGCCGGAGGAAGGUGGGGAUGAUGUCAAGUCCGCAUGGCUCCUACGUCUGGGGCUACACACACGCUACAAUGGCCGGGACAGAGGGAAGCCACGGGGCGACCCGGAGCGGAUCCCAAAACCCGGUCUCAGUUCGGAUGGUAGGCUGCAACUCGCCUGCCUGAAGUCGGAGUUGCUAGUAACCGCGUGUCAGCAUAGCGCGGUGAAUAUGUUCCCGGGCCUU
This 444-nucleotide ribosomal RNA is filed under the name uncultured bacterium. Its description in RNAcentral is "bacterial SSU rRNA". It matches the Rfam family "Bacterial small subunit ribosomal RNA", at positions 917 to 1382 of the family's 1533-position model. The record is from RNAcentral.